Oncorhynchus gorbuscha (pink salmon) is the source of this 490-nucleotide non-coding RNA. Lineage: Eukaryota; Metazoa; Chordata; Actinopteri; Salmoniformes; Salmonidae. The record is from the annotation of a RefSeq genome assembly.
AUGACAACAGAACCCACAACAACCAUGACAUUUUUUACCAUCCUCAUUUGCACACUUGCAUUCAACAUCAAGGAAUCUAGAGGUCAGUACACUGUGACUCAGACUCCUGCUGUGAAAGCUGUUCUCCCAGGACAGUCAGUCUCUCUGAACUGUAAAACCAGCAGUAAUGUGCAUGGCGCAGGAGGCACUUAUCCCCACCUAGCCUGGUAUCAACAGAAACCUGGAGGAGCUCCUAAACUCCUCAUUUACUAUACAAGCACCGUUCAAUCUGGGACUCCAUCUAGAUUCAGUGGCAGUGGAUCUGGGAGUGACUUCACUCUGACCAUCAGUGGAGUCCAGGCUGAAGAUGCAGGAGAUUACUACUGUCAGAGUUUACACCUCCCCAAUAGUAAACAUGUGUUCACACAGUGAUACAGAGCCGUACAAAAACCUCUCAGUCAGACUGCACACUGACUGUACUGAUACAGAUGGGACCUACUGCAGGUGCUGA